RNAcentral lists this long non-coding RNA (1010 nucleotides) under Vulpes vulpes (red fox). RNAcentral's name for it is "lncRNA (ENSVVUG00000018750.1)". The stretch from base 864 to 972 matches the Rfam family "Rhabdomyosarcoma 2 associated transcript conserved region 3". Lineage: Eukaryota; Metazoa; Chordata; Mammalia; Carnivora; Canidae. The record is from RNAcentral.
GAACAAUCAAGCAUAAUGGCAAGAUCAAGCUUGGUGUCAGGCUGUAUGACUUGUAAUUCUGUGAAAUUAUAAAACUUGUGAACAAAAGGGAAUGAGAAAUAUGUAACUGUGGAAGAUUCUCAGGCUGAUGGAGUGAGUGACAGAGUGGGUUGCCAACUCGAGUGACUCCACUCAGCGUACACAGUGGCUACGGGGGAUAGAUUCAGACAUGCCCAAAGAAGUCUGCCCAGGGGGAGACUCAUACCUUUGAGGUUUAAAUCAGGUGUGUGAAGAAUGCUGGAAACAUGACUUUCUGGAGUUUGGUCUGGGUUGGUUUGGUUUUUUUGUUUUUGUUUUUCAAGGAAAGUGGGAAGCUUGGUGGCUCUUGCCUGUUCUUCCAACUCUUUCAGAGCCAUAAAAUACUUCCAAAGUGUAAUGUACUCUCUCUCCUAGGGUUUGGUCUACUCUAUUCCACUGCUUGAAAGGGUCAUCCUAUAUUUUUAUCAAAACUUUAGGUGUUUAAAGACAUGAUGUGGUUUUUCAUAUGCAAAAAGAGUUUUGAUUUUGGAGACAUUUUUAAAUUGGGGAUUGAGGUAUACUGAUCUGUCUCUUACCAUGUGUCUAUUUCCUUAGAAAAAAUAAGUACAAUUUGUCAUACACAAGUUAGCUACCACAUACCUGAAGAAAUUAUGUGCAGAUUAUCUUUAAAAGUAGGUGUUGACGUUAUCUUUAAAAAGUUGUUAAAUAGCUCCAAAAUAUUGAGCAAAUGUAAUGUUUCUUUUGAAAAUACAACCCACAUUUCCUUGCAGGAUGAAGUUAUGCUUAAUAGCCUCUGUUUAAUUCAUUCAGAAACUACACGAUUCUUGUUGCUAUAUUUUGUUAAAAAGGAAGGAGAGGCUGUUUCUACAGGUGUUACAGAAAAAUCAAUACUGAGCCACGGAUUAUUGGAUCCCAUAGAACCAUGGAGACUUGGCAGUGAAAUUCUUCCAAAGUUUCUCCUAGAUUUCAAAAAGUUGAAAAGCUAUACAUAA